UUUUGAUAAUAUUUUCAAAAUCAGAAUUAAAUCUUUAAACAACUAAUCUGAUCUUUCAUUGGUUUUCCAUUUAAAUAUAAUUACGAUAAAAAAUGGCCGAAGAAAAUGAUUCAACAACAA
This is a long non-coding RNA of Dermatophagoides pteronyssinus (European house dust mite), 120 nucleotides long. NCBI's taxonomy places the organism in Eukaryota, Metazoa, Arthropoda, Arachnida, Sarcoptiformes, Pyroglyphidae. The record is from RefSeq and is a predicted model, not a curated record.